GAUCCUGGCUCAGGACGAACGCUGGCGGCGUGCUUAACACAUGCAAGUCGAACGGGGCGCUUAUGAUGGAGAUUUCGGUCAACGGAUUAAGUUGCCUAGUGGCGGACGGGUGAGUAACGCGUGAGUAACCUGCCUUUCAGAGGGGGACGAACAGUUGGAAACGACUGCUAAUACCGCAUAAUAUAUAUGGACCGCAUGAUCUGUGUAUCAAAGAUUUAUCGCUGAAAGAUGGACUCGCG
RNAcentral lists this ribosomal RNA (239 nucleotides) under uncultured bacterium. RNAcentral's name for it is "partial 16S ribosomal RNA". It matches the Rfam family "Bacterial small subunit ribosomal RNA", at positions 15 to 235 of the family's 1533-position model. The record is from RNAcentral.